Molecule: long non-coding RNA, 925 nt
Filed under: Nilaparvata lugens (brown planthopper)
Lineage: Eukaryota; Metazoa; Arthropoda; Insecta; Hemiptera; Delphacidae
Description: uncharacterized LOC120355674, transcript variant X2
Source: RNAcentral
CAAAAUCUGGGGCAAUGAAAGUGGGCAAUACUAUAGAUGCUCACAACAAAUUCAUAGAUGAUUCAUAAGAAUUUCCCCUACUACCUAAACGUCAAAUAUUGAAAAAGAAGCAUAUUCCUCCUCGCAUUUAUUUCUGUCUUAUUCUAUUUCAAUUUGUAUUUGUUUCUAUUUUAGAAUGUGUUUUAAUUUCAUAUUUUGUUCUCAUACCUCUAUUUCUGAUCAUCAGGUGGAGACAAUAUAAUGAGUUUGGAUCUGCCACACUCAUGGUUUAUGACAUUAUGAUGUAUUAUUGGUAUUUCAGCCUAGUGCCGGUUGCGCUAAAGCCAGUUAAAUUUUAAUCGUGAUUAAUCCCACGAGAACCAAUCAAAGAAGCCGUCGUUGAGGCCUUCUCUGAUUGGUUCUCAUGGAAUUAAUCACGGUUAAAAUUUAACCGGCUUUUGUGCAACUGGGCCUUAGUCUGUCUGUCCAAUUGCACACUUGGAAGCAGGUGCCAGCAUGAUUGUCUAUUCAAUUCAAAGUCAUAUAUAAUCAGGACUGAAAUUUUAAACAGGUGUGUCAGUUUGUAAUGCAUCAGAUGGAGCUUGGCAUACACAUACUGAUUCACUCCUGUCAUGGACCACAGCUUUCAAGUAUGGCACUUGACAGUGAGCAGAGUGAGAGAGAGGACGAAUCAGGAGCUGUAGAUCAUCACUGCUUGUCUCCGGAAUGAUUGAGCGAGCGAUGCGAGUUCUCACUCCCUGUUGCAGUCUCCACCUAUUUGGAUUAUGAGGUGAGUGAACUUUACAAUUUUUGUAGAUAUCCCUUUUAGGGUGGCCACUCACGACAGGACAAGUGUGUUGAGCAUGUGUGUGCACACAUGCUCGUCAUCAAUAUGUGUCAAUGCUAUAGUGAGGUCCACGUUAUAAUGACAGUGGAGAAAGAUAGG